Molecule: long non-coding RNA, 1281 nt
Organism: Thunnus maccoyii (southern bluefin tuna)
Lineage: Eukaryota; Metazoa; Chordata; Actinopteri; Scombriformes; Scombridae
Exons: 4
Source: RefSeq, a predicted model, not a curated record
AUACAAAGUUUAAUGGAGACAAAAUGGAGGUCUCACCCACUUUUUCACAGCCUCUAGAGACUAUUCAGAUAAAACAAUCUUAGGACUACUUUCCUCCUCUGAUCUUAAGAUUUGAUAUAUUUGAUACUGACAUAGUCAAAACUCUUUUUUUAACCAGGAAAAAUUAAGCUAAAUAAUUUGGGUUUGGAUAUAAAUAGCUUGACUCAACCAGUGAAUACUGAACUGUGUUACUAUUGAACAUACUGUAUGUUUGUAUGCUAAGUCCUUCAUAUAUUUUAAGUUAACAUCCGGUGUCAUUUAUCUUUCCUCGUAGGCUCAAGUGAAACAUGCGUGCUGAGGUUCCUUGAGCUUCAAAGAAAUCUCGGACUAAAUCACUCACUCACUAGAAAGCGGCUAUUGUAUUGGAUCAAAUUGACUGAGUGAGAUUGCCCCUUGCACAGCAAUCAGAGUCUAGAACAAAAUGUUCAUGAAAAUGAGAUGCACUCUGGCCCUUCGUAGUCUUCCGGUGUAUCAGCGCGAGGGGUCUCUGAGUUCUUCAAGACCAGCAGUGUAACUUCUCAGUACACUCACAGAAAUGUCAAUAUCUAUCAGUACAGUGUUGACAUAACAUAUUGUAUGGGAGACGAACUUGAACGCCUCCUGUAGCAUUCUCAAAAUUUAAAUAGAUUCAAGGAUAGGUUUGGACUUUUUCAAGUCUAUCUCAAUACAAUAUUCAAAUGUAUAUCGACAAAGUUAUUAGUGGGCGGAAAUUAUUCGUCCUAUCUCCAUAAUAGCCGUAAAGCAGUCCCUUCCUAUCAGGUAGGAUGAGUCUCUAACCAGUCUGCAGAAUUACAUUGAGUGUGUUUUUCCAAUUAUCAAGUGGCUCCACAUGAUCACAGCUGAUGGAGGCCACUGUACAGUGAGAGCUUGAUUCUAACUGAUGCUACCUGGAUGAGAUGUCCCAAACUGAUUUAUUGCACAAUAGUUGAUGCUUCAUAUGAUGUUCACUGUCUGUGUAGAUUAGUCACUGCAUAAAUGCCUAUCUAUAGAUGCCUGUUUUUUGUCUAGCUGUGAAUAUAUCCACAUUUCUAUUUAUUUUUUUGAGACAUUGAGUGUACAAACCUAUUGAUGAGGAGGUUCACUCAGUGUGACACCUGCUGGUCAUUUUUUGUAACUACUUUUGGCAUGCUUGCUGUUGGUUCUAUGCCAUUGAUCUCUGUAAUUAUUGAGAGCUCAUAGUACCCUAUUACCCCACUAGGAAACUGCGCUCCCAGAAUGCAGGCUUACUGGUGGUUCCUACAG